GGGAGUAGUUGACCGGCUGGUGCCGGCCGCGGUCUUCAAAACCGUCGGGGGGCGGCCCGUGCCGUCCCCGGUGGGUUCGAUUCCCAUCUACUCCCGCCA
This 99-nucleotide transfer RNA is filed under the name Bacillota bacterium. Its description in RNAcentral is "tRNA-Sec". It matches the Rfam family "Selenocysteine transfer RNA". RNAcentral also lists the same sequence under 1 other name. The record is from RNAcentral. Lineage: Bacteria; Bacillati; Bacillota.